RNAcentral lists this microRNA precursor (87 nucleotides) under Callithrix jacchus (white-tufted-ear marmoset). RNAcentral describes it as "microRNA cja-mir-9983 precursor". The record is from miRBase by way of RNAcentral. Lineage: Eukaryota; Metazoa; Chordata; Mammalia; Primates; Cebidae.
GGGGCCCAGCUGGAAAUGUUCUAGCCAAAAAAGUUUGCCGAGAAUCACUGUGGGUUUUUUUUGCUGGAACAUUUCUGGUUGUGCCUC